RNAcentral lists this ribosomal RNA (730 nucleotides) under Bacillus sp. (in: firmicutes). RNAcentral's name for it is "bacterial SSU rRNA". It matches the Rfam family "Bacterial small subunit ribosomal RNA", at positions 56 to 769 of the family's 1533-position model. The record is from RNAcentral. Lineage: Bacteria; Bacillati; Bacillota; Bacilli; Caryophanales; Bacillaceae.
UGCAGUCGAGCGGACAGAUGGGAGCUUGCUCCCUGAUGUUAGCGGCGGACGGGUGAGUAACACGUGGGUAACCUGCCUGUAAGACUGGGAUAACUCCGGGAAACCGGGGCUAAUACCGGAUGCUUGUUUGAACCGCAUGGUUCAGACAUAAAAGGUGGCUUCGGCUACCACUUACAGAUGGACCCGCGGCGCAUUAGCUAGUUGGUGAGGUAACGGCUCACCAAGGCGACGAUGCGUAGCCGACCUGAGAGGGUGAUCGGCCACACUGGGACUGAGACACGGCCCAGACUCCUACGGGAGGCAGCAGUAGGGAAUCUUCCGCAAUGGACGAAAGUCUGACGGAGCAACGCCGCGUGAGUGAUGAAGGUUUUCGGAUCGUAAAGCUCUGUUGUUAGGGAAGAACAAGUGCCGUUCAAAUAGGGCGGCACCUUGACGGUACCUAACCAGAAAGCCACGGCUAACUACGUGCCAGCAGCCGCGGUAAUACGUAGGUGGCAAGCGUUGUCCGGAAUUAUUGGGCGUAAAGGGCUCGCAGGCGGUUUCUUAAGUCUGAUGUGAAAGCCCCCGGCUCAACCGGGGAGGGUCAUUGGAAACUGGGGAACUUGAGUGCAGAAGAGGAGAGUGGAAUUCCACGUGUAGCGGUGAAAUGCGUAGAGAUGUGGAGGAACACCAGUGGCGAAGGCGACUCUCUGGUCUGUAACUGACGCUGAGGAGCGAAAGCGUGGGGAGC